CAAUAAGCGGAGGAAAAGAAACCAACAGGGAUUGCCCUAGUAACGGCGAGUGAAGCGGCAACAGCUCAAAUUUGAAAUCUGGCGCAAGCCCGAGUUGUAAUUUGUAGAGGAUGCUUCUGGGCAGCGGCCGGUCUAAGUUCCUUGGAACAGGACGUCAUAGAGGGUGAGAAUCCCGUAUGUGACUGGCGCGCACCCUCCACGUAGCUCCUUCGACGAGUCGAGUUGUUUGGGAAUGCAGCUCUAAAUGGGAGGUAAAUUUCUUCUAAAGCUAAAUACCGGCCAGAGACCGAUAGCGCACAAGUAGAGUGAUCGAAAGAUGAAAAGCACUUUGGAAAGAGAGUUAAAAAGCACGUGAAAUUGUUGAAAGGGAAGCGCCUACAACCAGACUUCGCGGCAGUGUUCCGCCGGUCUUCUGACCGGUCCACUCUCUGUCGCGAGGCCAUCAUCGUCUGGGCCCGUCGGAUAAGACCUUGGGAAUGUAGCUCACCUUCGGGGGAGUGUUAUAGCCCAUGGUGAUGCGACGCGGCCCGGGCGAGGUCCGCGCUUCGGCAAGGAUGAUGGCGUAAUGGUUGUCGGCGGCCCGUCUUGAA
RNAcentral lists this ribosomal RNA (590 nucleotides) under Cercosporella virgaureae. Its description in RNAcentral is "eukaryotic LSU rRNA". It matches the Rfam family "Eukaryotic large subunit ribosomal RNA", at positions 44 to 658 of the family's 3401-position model. Lineage: Eukaryota; Fungi; Ascomycota; Dothideomycetes; Mycosphaerellales; Mycosphaerellaceae. The record is from RNAcentral.